Molecule: non-coding RNA, 30 nt
Filed under: Mus musculus (house mouse)
Lineage: Eukaryota; Metazoa; Chordata; Mammalia; Rodentia; Muridae
Source: RNAcentral
UUUCAGGGAGAAACUGUUCUUUUUCUAUAA